This 386-nucleotide ribosomal RNA is filed under the name uncultured bacterium. RNAcentral's name for it is "bacterial SSU rRNA". It matches the Rfam family "Bacterial small subunit ribosomal RNA", at positions 30 to 418 of the family's 1533-position model. The record is from RNAcentral.
AUUGAACGCUGGCGGCAUGCCUUACACAUGCAAGUCGAACGGCAGCACGGGGCAACCUGGUGGCGAGUGGCGAACGGGUGAGUAAUGCAUCGGAACGUGCCAUUGAGUGGGGGAUAACGUAGCGAAAGUUGCGCUAAUACCGCAUAUUCUGUGAGCAGGAAAGCGGGGGACCGCAAGGCCUUGCGCUCUUUGAGCGGCCGAUGUCAGAUUAGCUAGUUGGUGAGGUAACGGCUUACCAAGGCGACGAUCUGUAGCGGGUCUGAGAGGAUGAUCCGCCACACUGGAACUGAGACACGGUCCAGACUCCUACGGGAGGCAGCAGUGGGGAAUUUUGGACAAUGGGCGCAAGCCUGAUCCAGCCAUGCCGCGUGAGUGAAGAAGGCCUC